UGGGGAAUUUUGGACAAUGGGGGAAACCCUGAUCCAGCCAUCCCGCGUGUGCGAUGAAGGCCUUCGGGUUGUAAAGCACUUUUGGCAGGAACGAAACGUCAUGGGUCAAUACCCCGAGAAACUGACGGUACCUGCAGAAUAAGCACCGGCUAACUACGUGCCAGCAGCCGCGGUAAUACGUAGGGUGCAAGCGUUAAUCGGAAUUACUGGGCGUAAAGCGUGCGCAGGCGGUUCGGAAAGAAAGAUGUGAAAUCCCAGGGCUCAACUAUGGAAUUGCAUUUGUAACUGGCGGGCUAGAGUGUGUCAGAGGGUGGUGGAAUUCCGCGUGUAGCAGUGAAAUGCGUAGAUAUGCGGAGGAACACCGAUGGCGAAGGCAGCCUCCUGGGAUAACACUGACGCUCAUGCACGAAAGCGUGGGGAGCAAACAGG
RNAcentral lists this ribosomal RNA (429 nucleotides) under Acidobacteriota bacterium. RNAcentral describes it as "Acidobacteria bacterium partial 16S ribosomal RNA". It matches the Rfam family "Bacterial small subunit ribosomal RNA", at positions 355 to 776 of the family's 1533-position model. The record is from RNAcentral. Lineage: Bacteria; Pseudomonadati; Acidobacteriota.